AACACGGAGAGUUUGAUCCUGGCUCAGGAUGAACGCUGGCGGUCUGCUUAACACAUGCAAGUCGAACGGAGUAGAAAUACUUAGUGGCGGACGGGUGAGU
This 100-nucleotide ribosomal RNA is filed under the name Microcoleus sp. FACHB-61. RNAcentral describes it as "partial 16S ribosomal RNA". It matches the Rfam family "Bacterial small subunit ribosomal RNA", at positions 1 to 111 of the family's 1533-position model. Lineage: Bacteria; Bacillati; Cyanobacteriota; Cyanophyceae; Oscillatoriales; Microcoleaceae. The record is from RNAcentral. RNAcentral also lists the same sequence under 1 other name.